UUUUAGCAUCAAGAGUCGGCAAAAGGUCGCCCCAACCGAGCUAUAGUUAAGUGUCACGGUGGGAAAACGAUGCGGAUUGUCUCACAAUUUAAAGUACUUAA
Molecule: non-coding RNA, 101 nt
Filed under: Prevotella disiens
Lineage: Bacteria; Pseudomonadati; Bacteroidota; Bacteroidia; Bacteroidales; Prevotellaceae
Description: SAM-I-IV sequence
Rfam family: SAM-I/IV (S-adenosyl methionine) riboswitch aptamer
About the family: It is found upstream of a number of genes which code for proteins involved in methionine or cysteine biosynthesis.
Source: RNAcentral